AUCCUUUUUUUUUUUGGUUCAUAAGCAUGAUGAUUAGGUGUUCACGCGACUUUGUGACAUGUGCUGCCCUCAGACCUUGUCACACACCGGCACAUUACCCAUCUGACG
Molecule: small nucleolar RNA, 108 nt
Organism: Nannospalax galili (Upper Galilee mountains blind mole rat)
Lineage: Eukaryota; Metazoa; Chordata; Mammalia; Rodentia; Spalacidae
Product: small nucleolar RNA U13
Exons: 1
Source: RefSeq, a predicted model, not a curated record